CCCAAGGAGAACACCCAGAGCUGCAGAAGAUAGACAGGAAGAGCAGCCUGUUGAAGGGGACAGAGGACUGAUCUCCCCUGAAGGGACAGGCAAACUCAUAAAGAGAGGAAGUGAAUCCACGUGGUCUGGAAUGGAAGGAAGACUGCACCCGCUUAGCCCAGCAGAAGUCUAGGAGGUUCCUGUUGAUGAUACAAAUCACUGUAGAAGCCAGGGAGGAUGGCGAGGAAACAGGAGAUGACAGUACAUGAUCUAUGCAGCUGCAGAAACACGUAAGAGGAUGACAGACCCAAAGAAAAGAAGACUUCCUGGAGAAAGUGACAGCUAAGCUAAGAACAUGAAGGUUGCACAGGACUUAGCUGACAGUGGGGCUGGGGAGGGUUAGGAGUUCCUCACAGAGGAAAUGGCACCGGGAAAGGCAAGAAGGAGCAUGACUCAUCUGGGAAAAAGGGAAGGAGUUUUUUAUGUCUGAAACGCAAAACAUAAGGGGGAAGAUGAAAGAUGAGAAAUAGUGAAAAAGUUUUUAUCUGAGCGCAAAGGGAUGACAUCAAAGGAUUUCAAUGGGGACAAUACUUAGCCAGAUAGACAUUUUUAAGCUACUUCUCUGGCAGCAGUGUGGAUGAUGGGUGGGGGAGAGGGGUAUGGAGAGACCUAGAAAGAUGCAGUUGCUAGGAGAUGAGGUUGUGGUGGCUUGAACUGGGAUGGUGGAGUGGGAAUGGAGGCAGCAGAUAGAUCCAAAAGAUAUUUUAGAAGUGGAAUGGGCAGGACUUGGUGAAUGGGUGGGUGUGGGAUUGAGAGAGAGGAAGGAAUCCAGCUUGGCUCCCACUUUGGGAUACUGGUGACAGGACAUUCGCUGGGCCAUGAUUUACCAUGGGGAGGGUCCCCAUGCAUACUCAAGGACAUCUUCCUACACGGUAGGCCAAGCCAAUCCAUCUUAUCUGCUCUGUUCCAGCUCUGACAUAUCUGCCACUGGAUGGAUAAACAAGUGGGCUUCUUUCACCAAUAUCUCUUGGCUUUGAGGGAGGCCACAGGAAACCUGCUUGGACCACCAGGUCUGUCUUGUGUCCCAGCACGGCUUCCCAGAAAGCCCUGCGGUGGCAGCAGAAAGGGAGGGCAGUAUGCGGAGGAAAGAGGCAUGAGGUACUUGCCCGGCUAUUAAUAUCACUAGAGUAGUAUUUUGUAUUUUGUUUCAGUGCUUAUCCCUGGGGAAUUAGGAUCUCUCCAUGAGGAAUCCCAGAGUCACAAAGGCAUGAAUGGUGAGGACUGGGUUCCUACACCUUGUUAUAAACUCCGUCGUCAUUAAGCUUUGUAACCUAACACUGGUGCAUGGUAACCCUAACACUGGCGCAUUGCCAGAAGAAACAAUGAAGGAAGAAAGGUAAAUACAGACAUUUUUAAUCCACAGCAGCAAAGUCUGCCCCAAUUUUCCCACUAAGUCCUAAGAAGGGCUCCUACCCAGGGCCAUUUGGGGCAGAGUCCUUCUUCAACCUUGCUGAGAAAGUUCUGACCACCCGGCUUCCCAGCAUCUCAGGAUUCCUGAUGAAGUCCCCAGGAUUCCUUGGACCCAAGCCAAGCUCUCACGGAAACUGGCACUUAGUCCAGCCACUAAAACCAGGAAGGCUGAGAGGGGAGAAGGAGCACUGGCUUGGGAGCCGGCCACCAUGCUGCACAACCGCAGAGGGCGCUGCUGACACCGUGUCUCUGUGAGCUCUAGAGCCCUUUGGUGCUGUGGGUGCUGGCAACCUGGCUGGAGAGUUGAGAAACCGUGUCCCACUGCUGAGUGCUGACCUGUCUGCGUCACCCCUGACGUACUUGACAAAACAUCGGGCCUUGCGUCCUUGGCUCCAGCACGCCGGGCUCCAUUCACGGGUCCCACACACCACUAACAUUCCAUGUCUAAAAUGCAACGGUGCUUCCCUAGGCUGGAAUUCUCAAUAUUUAUUUGUAAUGAGAGGAAAAGUCCAAAAGGAAAAAAAAAAUGUCAAAAUAUAAAAGCACUCUGCCCCCUUCCACAUGGUCAAAACUAAAGAGCCCAGGCUUGACAAAGGAGCCAGAAAAAACUCAUCUAAGGGCCAAGGAGGUUUCCUAAGAUACAAAAGCACUCUGCCCCCUUCCACAUGGUCAUGAACUCUGCCAGACCUGGGCUUAGAUGGCCACCCACCCUUCCCGUAGUUUAAUGACUGUGUCCUCUGCUGAGCCCGCCAGCCCCACCCUGCACCCUGCUUUCCCCACCACCAGGGCUCCUUCACGACAAGCCCCCGCAUCCUGGGCCCCUUUCCAGCCAGAGGGCUGCAGUGUUGACAUUUAUCUCUGGGGCACUUGAUGCAUAAUUAUAAGAGAAACAAAGGAAACAUAUUUGUAAUAAAUCCUGAACCAAAAAAAAAAAAAAAGAUGUCAUUAAAACGUUGGGCUCCUCCUGAGUGGCCUUGGCAGAAAGAAGCGAAGACAGGGAGAUAUUUGCUUGUUAGUUUCAGCAUCUUUCGUUUGCUCCCCACUCUUUCUCAUAGAGGAGGACCUAGACGUGGUAAUGCGCAGAGCCAGCGAGCCCCUCGUGGUGGAGUGAAUAACGUGAGCUCAGAGGAGAAGGAGAAUCUCCAUUUGCUCCAGGCUUGCAGGGAACAGGGGGACCAGCAAGAGGCGACAAAGAUGAAGAGCUAGACUCCAGGGCUCUUAACUUGAAGUCCAUCAACUUUCAAAUUAUCUGUAGAUCAUUUAGGGGGCCCUAGAACUUGGGGAAAAUUACAUCUUUAUUUCUACAAUUCUAACUGUUCCUUUAUGAAUGUGGGCCACAAACCACAAUUGUACAAGCAGUUCCUGUGAUGUCACAUGAAUAGAAAUCACACAUUGUCUUAUUACUUUAUAGUUGUCAGAGCUCCUUAAAAUAUUCCUUAGACUUCCCACCACUUUGAAAGUAUGGCAGUUAUUAGACCAACUGCUAAUUCUUGUUAUUUAAUAUGUUAAUAAAGAACCACUCAUAGUACUAACCAAAAAUGUAGUUAAAGUUUUUAAUAUUCUUAUUGCUGUAUUUUAACAUAAUUGACUUUCUUUGUAACCACUUGUAUCUUUUAGAAGUUUCUUCUGAGAAGGGCCUAUGGGCUCCAAAAAAUUGCCAAGGGACCUACACACAAGAGAGUUAAGAACCCCUGGUUUAGAAAGUGAAAGUAUGGUCUACCGACUUUACGGUUUUACAAACCAAAGCCCGUCCAACUUAUGUUUCAUCAAAUGAAGUCUUUGCCCAUCAAUUAAUUACCAGGGGCCGGGGGAGGAUGGUGUUUAAAUGUAGAUUCCCAGGACCUAUAUCCAAACUACAAAAAUAGAAUCUUGGUAUCGGAACCCGGGAAUCUUUGCUACCAAUGGCUCCCAGUAGGGCUGCCCCACGUGCUGCCGCCAGGUGGGUGUGGCCUCCUGGGCAGCACACCUUGGAGUGGCUGGACUUCCUUGGCCAGGUAGAACAGCCUGCACAGCUUCACCUGGGAACUCUGAUUCUCUAGGUGAUUUCCAAUCCUCACUAAAGCUUCUCAGCAAAGGAGAGAAGGGCUAAACCCCUUGGUUUGGGCUUUUGAGUUUGGGAAGUGUCUAUUUGUUUAUGAGGGCUGCCAUAACAAAUUAUAACAGACUAUGGUAACUUAGAAAAACAGCAAUGUAUUCUCUCACAGUUCUGGAGUCAGGAGUCCAAAAUCAAGCUGUCGGUUGGAUUGAUUCUUUCUGGGGGCUCUAAGAAGAUCUGUUCCAUGCUUCUCUCUGCGUGGUGGUUGCUGGCAAUUCUCUGCAUUCCUUAGCUGGAAGGAGCCAGUAAUCUAUCACAGUGGUCCUCCAGUGCAGUGCCAGCAGCAGCCUCACGUGGGAACUUGUUAGAAAUGCUAACUAUCAGGCCUCUGGUACCAGAACCCCUGCGAUGGGCCCAGUGAUCUGUGUUUUCACAAGUCCUCCAGGAAAUUCUGAUGCCUGUUCAAGCUUGAGGACCUUAAGAAGUAUGUGGGAGUCUUCCCUCCUGGUUGAAUCAUCCAUUCGUUCAACAAACUCUUAGAGGACAGUGCCCCAGCUGCUGAGGUUACAGCUGUGUUCAAGUCCUGGUCUCUACCCGCUUGGAUCUUACCCUGGAUGGAGAGAUCAGCACACAAGACUGCAUAACCCACGUGGAUUGGGUGGAACCACCUGUCCUUGGCAGUGAACAGUUGUGACCCAUAGAAAUGGCAAUUUCACGUGGCUUGUCCUAAACGAAGCACAAGGUUUCAAGGUGGGCCACAGAAGCCUCCCGGGGGUUGUGCUCACAUGUCCUGAGACGGCAGCAUGACUCAGGGAAGGCUCGAAUCAAAACUGGGGCAGAGAAGCCCAGACGAGGAAACAGCAUGUGCAGACGCCGGGAGGUGUGGGAGCCGAGGCGCUGGCUGGCCUGUGGGACAGAGGCCUCUGUGGCCUGCGGAGAGUCCGGGCUGCCCCCUCCCUGGCUCCUGCCUUUGCCACGGCCACCUCACAGUCACCUCAGUCUCAACCAUGGGAAGUUGCAUCUAGACGCCAGGCACCAAGAUACUGAAGCUCCAGCACCUGCCACUGGACUUUUAACGUCUCCUCUUCCCCCGUGAGCACCCGGCCGACUUCUCCAUUGGGCGAAAGAGCACUGUGCUGAGGGCUGCCAUAUUUAGGAGCCCACAAAUAUGUUUUCAUUCCUUUCAAAUCCAAAGGAAAAACAAAGGAACUUACAGGGUUGAAUAAAAUGUUUUAAU
Microcebus murinus (gray mouse lemur) is the source of this 4721-nucleotide non-coding RNA. The record is from RefSeq and is a predicted model, not a curated record. Lineage: Eukaryota; Metazoa; Chordata; Mammalia; Primates; Cheirogaleidae.